UACAAAUGAUGUUUUCUCACGAUGGUCUUCCUAGCCUUUUUGGUUUUGACGAUAACGCCUUAUGGCAUUGCUGAUGUAGACCU
Gadus morhua (Atlantic cod) is the source of this 83-nucleotide small nucleolar RNA. Ensembl annotates it as small nucleolar RNA SNORD35. NCBI's taxonomy places the organism in Eukaryota, Metazoa, Chordata, Actinopteri, Gadiformes, Gadidae. The record is from Ensembl.